AUUAGGGGCCAAUGAGGUGUGAGAAGAGAAGUGAGCAGCGUCAGGCGUAAGCGCGAGCGGCUUGUUUCAGACGUCUGCCCUUUUCCGUUCUGUUCGGAGGCUGGAAAGCAGACGCGGGAGCAAUGCCGCUUCCACCGUGUUCCGUGUGGACAGGAGUCUAGGGGAGCUCAGCCACGGCCUGUCAGGGGCCUAGGCUUUCUGCGAGGCCUGCGCUCUCUGAACGGGACCGAGUGUAGCUCACGAUGGAAAUGCAGCAAGGGCUCCUGACAAGUGUUGUGGCUCCUCUCGCCAGUGAGGCUGUGGACCACUGCAGCUGGAGGAAGAGGCCGUGGGCCCAGAAAUGCAGGCGCCUCCAGACGCUGGAAAAGACAAGAAAACAGUCGUCCCCCGGGACCCCAGAAGGAACACAGCCCAGCGACUCCAGUCUCAGCAGACGUCCAAAACUAGCCUCGAGAGCCCCGAGACACAGCGUGCAGGACGAGGGAAGAGAGUGAUCGGCCGUCGGCCCCCCAGAGGCCCGCGUGUAACUGCCGAGCCAGCAGAGCCGCGCGUCGGACCCCCGGAACCGAGCACUGGUGCUAGAAGACAACGGACCAACAACCCGGAAAGUACGAGUAUACAUUACGAAAGGAUUCCCACGACCAGAAAUGCAAUCACACGGAUGACUCCUCCUCUGUCUGCCUUCGUUCACCCCCUGAACAUUACGUUUGUGACAUUCAUCCACGUGUGGCGGUAACUCCUUCAUUUUCACCACCGGGCAGCAUUCCAAGGUGUGACUGUGCACAACGCACUCAACCGUCCCCCUACCGGCGGCCACGCAGUUUCCGGCUUGGGGCCUCCCUGAGCUGUGCCGCUGAACAGGAACGUGCCGGAGAGAAAUUCCUCUCUCGACAGCUGCUCCCUGGUUUGCUUUGAAGAAGCCGCCUAUGAACACCCAGUGGGGUGCCUCGCAAGGUGCCAGGUGGACCCAGCACUGAAUUCAUGCCCCGUCCUUGCCCCCUUCCCUGUGACUCUGUGCUGUGUCGAUGCUGCAGCAGGAAGGAAUCGUCCCACGUUAGACUCCCCAUCGGGUUAUAGGAGAUCCGAUGUCACUCUCGGAACCAUACACGGAGCCUGGGGCAAUCAGAGUGACCAGCCAUUCUCCUCCCUUGUUUGUUUGUUUGUUUGUUUGCUUGUAUUUAAUGCACGCCUGUCCCCUUCCUCUGUAGCAUCGGCUCCCUCUUAAAUCAUCUCCCAACACAGUAACGCGUCAGGCCGACGGGGAGCUUGGGAAAUGCACGGCUUUGAUUAAUUGCGUUUCUGGUUGACAGAGUCGAGCCGAAGCCAUGCUGCUCUGACUGUUGCUGUUGUACAGCUUUCUACUCUGCAGACUCCGUUAGUAUCCGCUACGAAACACACUUGGAUCCCACGUUGAUGACAAGCCUCUGUGGACACCUGGGAGCCUCCGUUUCCAUGUGAGGUACCACUCCUCCACAGAAGGAAGGAAGUACUGCCACAGGCCAGAACGUGGCUGAACUGGAAGGUGGAAGUGAAGGAAGCCACACACGAGAGGACGAGACACGAGAGGACACGUAUGGUCUAACUCCGUUUAGAUGAGAUACUAGGGAUGGGAAAUCCAUAGGGACAGAAAGCCGCGUAGUGAUUUUCAGGGGCUGGGGGAGGGGGGAGGGGGAUUGGUUACAGGGUUUCAGUUUGUGGGGGGAAAGUUCUGGACCUAGAUCAUGGUGAUGGUUGCGCAAUUUGCAGAUUCCUUAGUGCCCCUGAAUCCUACACUUUAAAAUGGUUAAAAUGAUAGAUUUCAUGUUACGUGUAUUUUUCUCACACACACACACACACACACACACACACACACACACACAGAAAAUUAAAUACAGAGUAACCAUAUGACUCAGCAGUUCCCCUGCGAAGUACAGAGCCAAGAGAAUUGAAAGCAAAUAUCCACACAGAAACCUGUCCAGGACCGUUCACAGCGGCAUGAUUCACAACAGCCAACGGGUGGAGACGAUCCAAACGGCCCUAAUGAGUGGAUGCGUGAGUUUCCUCCGGCUGCCGAAAGGCACGGCCACAAACCAGGUGAUUUCAAACCACAGAAAUGUACGGUCUCCCAGCUCUGGAGACCAGACGACUGAAACCAAGGUGUCGGAGGUGCCUCGCCCCUCCGGGAGCUGCAGGGGGCUCCUCUCUUGCCAAGCUCGGCAUUUCCUGGGCUGUGACUGUGUCACUUCAAUUUCUGCCUCUGUUGUCACGUGGCCGUCUUCUGUGUAUCUUACUAGGACGCGAGUCAUCAAGGGCUUGAUCCUCAGUAUGACUGUAUUUCACUAGUUACAUGGGCAACCACCCUGUAUCCAAAUAAGGUCAGGUUCUGAGGUACGGAGGGCUGGGAUCUCAACAUUUCCUUUUUGGAGGACACAAUCAGCUCCGAACAAUGGACCGACGCCAUGCGGUCUGUCCGUACAAGGGAAUGCUGUCCAGCCAUAAAAGGAAUGGAAAGCCUGCAAAACGUAAGGCCUGCAAACAUGCUGCUCAGAGAAAGAAGCCGGACCCACAAGAUCCCGUGUGGUGUGAUUCCACUUGUGCAAAACACCCAGAGCAGGCGAAUCCGGAGACAAAGUGGAUGUGAAGGCUGGAGGGAGGGAAAGAAUGAGGAGGGGCUGCCUAAUGGGUCUGGAGUUUAUUUCUGGAGUGAUGGAAAUGCUCAGGAAUUUUAUAGUGAUUAACUGUUGUACAAAAUUAUGCACACACUAAACACUAGUGGACCGUGCACUUUAAAAGCAUGAAAUUACAGUGUGUCAUUUAUAUCUCAAUAGGGAAAAAAAAAAAAAAAAGACUGUUAAUGGGAUGAAAAACAAGUUACAGACGGAGAGAAAAUAUUUGCAAACCACUUUUUUUUUUUUUUUUUUUUUUUUUGGAGAGAGA
This is a long non-coding RNA of Felis catus (domestic cat), 2916 nucleotides long. RefSeq lists it as uncharacterized. The transcript is spliced from 8 exons. The record is from RefSeq and is a predicted model, not a curated record. Lineage: Eukaryota; Metazoa; Chordata; Mammalia; Carnivora; Felidae.